RNAcentral lists this ribosomal RNA (497 nucleotides) under uncultured bacterium. RNAcentral's name for it is "partial 16S ribosomal RNA". It matches the Rfam family "Bacterial small subunit ribosomal RNA", at positions 28 to 507 of the family's 1533-position model. The record is from RNAcentral.
GAUGAACGCUGGCGGCGUGCCUAAUACAUCCAAGUCGAGCGAACAGACGAGGAGCUUGCUCCUCUGACGUUAGCGGCGGACGGGUGAGUAACACGUGGAUAACCUACCUAUAAGACUGGGAUAACUUCGGGAAACCGGAGCUAAUACCGGAUAAUAUAUUGAACCGCAUGGUUCAAUAGUGAAAGACGGUUUUGCUGUCACUUAUAGAUGGAUCCGCGCCGCAUUAGCUAGUUGGUAAGGUAACGGCUUACCAAGGCAACGAUGCGUAGCCGACCUGAGAGGGUGAUCGGCCACACUGGAACUGAGACACGGUCCAGACUCCUACGGGAGGCAGCAGUAGGGAAUCUUCCGCAAUGGGCGAAAGCCUGACGGAGCAACGCCGCGUGAGUGAUGAAGGUCUCCGGAUCGUAAAACUCUGUUAUUAGGGAAGAACAAAUGUGUAAGUAACUAUGCACGUCUUGACGGUACCUAAUCAGAAAGCCACGGCUAACUACGUG